RNAcentral lists this ribosomal RNA (433 nucleotides) under uncultured bacterium. RNAcentral's name for it is "partial 16S ribosomal RNA". It matches the Rfam family "Bacterial small subunit ribosomal RNA", at positions 29 to 507 of the family's 1533-position model. The record is from RNAcentral.
AACGAACGCUGGCGGCAUGCCUAACACAUGCAAGUCGAACGAGACCUUCGGGUCUAGUGGCGCACGGGUGCGUAACGCGUGGGAACCUGCCCUUAGGUUCGGAAUAACUCCCCGAAAGGGGUGCUAAUACCGGAUAAUGCCUUCGGACCAAAGAUUUAUCGCCUUUGGAUGGGCCCGCGUUGGAUUAGCUAGUUGGUAGGGUAAAAGCCUACCAAGGCGACGAUCCAUAGCUGGUCUGAGAGGAUGAUCAGCCACACUGGGACUGAGACACGGCCCAGACUCCUACGGGAGGCAGCAGUGGUGAAUAUUGGACAAUGGGCGAAAGCCUGAUCCAGCAAUGCCGCGUGAGUGAUGAAGGCCUUAGGGUUGUAAAGCUCUUUUACCCGGGAUGAUAAUGACAGUACCGGGAGAAUAAGCUCCGGCUAACUCCGUG